GAGAACGAAAGCUAAGAUGGAAGCCCUCUCCUCCACUCGGUCUCCGGAGUCUGACGUCUGGGGAUUCGGUGAUGGAGGCUUUCCGUCACGGGCCGUGCGGGAAGCGAUCGGUCAGCGCGGUACUAGGGACAGUUUGCGAUGCUGCGGCAUAAAGAAUGGAUGAGAACUUCACGAUGCCGUCGAUACAGAGAACGCAAGGCGACGCGUGAAUUCAGGCUUUCGGAGGUAGAAGACCACUUGAGCACCCGCGACCGAGCCAUCGUGAAGUCCGGCUGCGUAACGUCGCACCGAGAAAGGGGUGUUUCGAUUAAGUUUUUAUUUAACCUUCCUCUGAGCCGUGCGUCUGCUAAAUCGACGAAUGUAAGUAUCUGAUCUGAAGGUAUGACGGAGACGCCGUGCUUCCUUUACAUUUACUCACCGAGCUGACGCUUUUCUCCAAAGUGACUCACAAUGUUAAUCUACCUACAAGUAUUUACACAUUCACACAGCUGGGUAAUUUUACUGGAGUAAUUGAGGGUAAGGGUACCACAGCCGGAGGUGGGGCUCAAACCUGCGAGCUUUACAUCCAAAGGCAACAGCUGUAUAGUAUGCUACCAGGUGCCCCGUGUGUCCUCCGAAAAUAUAAAGCCUACAGGUUUCCUUCAAAAUCAUCUUUCUUUGGGAUUUUUUUUUUUAAAAAAAUAUUAAGAAGCACUGGAUUUUUUUUUCUAUUUCUUUUCUUAUCUAUGGAAAGAAAUGCAUUCCCAGGGAUUCAACUUACGCAUUUAUCCCGCAUCAAUGUAUGAACAGUUGUGUCACGUGAAAGACCUUCCUCCUGUCCCCUCUGUGACUCCUUCUGAUCUUGAUUUAUGUUGCUGCCCGUUCAGUUUUUUAAUUAUUUUGUGAUUAUGUUUUUUCUUCCGACGUGGGCGUGUUGCUUGUGACAGGAUUAUUGUUUGAGGUGCGGGACACAGCUGGUGACGGCCGCGUGAUGUAUGUGUCUGCUGAGAGCCAAGGGCGACGGCUCCUAUGUAGGUGUCUCGGAACAUCAGUCCCUUGGCAACUCUUGCAGUGGACAAGUGACCCAAUGCCUGGACAUGAUGAUAGUCAACAACAACCACUGGGUUCUGUGGUCAGGAGCAAUAUAUAUUGCAGCAUUUAUUAAUUUAGCUGAUGCUUUUUCUUCAAAGCAUCUUACAAUGUUAAGCUAUGUUAAACUAUCUACCCAUUUAUUCAGCAGUGUAAUUCUUGUGGAGCAAUUUUUUGGGGUAAGUACCUUGCUCAAGGCUACUACAGCUUUAUGUGGGAUUCAAACCAGCAGCCUUUUGGUUCGAAGGCAGCAGCUAUAACCACUACACUAUCAGCUGCUACUGUUACUGCCUAUUACUAACAAAACGAAUCGGCAACAAUGAGCCUGGACAACGGCUUCAACAUCCUUAGACCAUAGUUCUGCCCGAUAGACGUUCUGCUCUUCAUACUGGACAAAGGCACACUGGUCCCCUGUCGCCACAAUAGAAAGUCCAGGAGGGGUGGGCAGCCACUGGUAUUUGGAGCCCUGGAGUUUUAUUUUUCUCCUCCUCUUUGGAGUUCUUUGCUUUCCUGCCCACUGUUGUCAGCGGGCUGAUCCAAAUAGCUCUCUACAUCUGUCACCAUAGUAAGUGGAUAUCUGUAUUGUACCAUUCCCUUCUCUGCUGUUCCACUGCCUGGAAUGUUGUUCAGCAGCAUUACACUUACCCUGGUGAGAAGAGCACUUGACAGAAAUAAAUUUAAAUCAAUUCAGUUUGGUUUAUUGUAA
Molecule: long non-coding RNA, 1774 nt
Filed under: Scleropages formosus (Asian bonytongue)
Lineage: Eukaryota; Metazoa; Chordata; Actinopteri; Osteoglossiformes; Osteoglossidae
Description: lncRNA (ENSSFOG00015028385.1)
Source: RNAcentral